Molecule: ribosomal RNA, 516 nt
Filed under: uncultured bacterium
Lineage: Bacteria
Description: bacterial SSU rRNA
Rfam family: Bacterial small subunit ribosomal RNA
Source: RNAcentral
AAUGGGCGAAAGCCUGACGCAGCGACGCCGCGUGGGGGAAGAAGGCCUUCGGGUUGUAAACUCCGUUUAAUACGGGAAGAAGCCGAAAGGUGACGGUACCGUAAGAAUAAGCCACGGCUAACUCUGUGCCAGCAGCCGCGGUAAGACAGAGGUGGCAAGCGUUGUUCGGAUUUACUGGGCUUAAAGGGCGUGUAGGCGUCCUAGUAAGUCAGAUGUGGAAGCCUUGGGCUCAACCCAAGAAUUGCAUUUGAAACUAUUAGGAUUGAGUCGUGCAUGGGAGGGCGGAAUUCCUGGUGUAGCGGUGAAAUGCGUAGAUAUCAGGAGGAAGGCCGGUGGCGAAGGUGGCCCUCUGGGCAAUGACUGACGCUGAGGCGCGAAAGCGUGGGUAGCAAACAGGAUUAGAUACCCUGGUAGUCCACGCCCUAAACGGUGCGUACUAGGUGUGGGUGGCGAUAGUCAUCCGUGCCGAAGGGAAACCAUUAAGUACGCCGCCUGGGGAGUACGGCCGCAAGGUUG